This 375-nucleotide ribosomal RNA is filed under the name Salmonella enterica subsp. enterica serovar Muenchen. Its description in RNAcentral is "bacterial SSU rRNA". It matches the Rfam family "Bacterial small subunit ribosomal RNA", at positions 1158 to 1532 of the family's 1533-position model. The record is from RNAcentral. Lineage: Bacteria; Pseudomonadati; Pseudomonadota; Gammaproteobacteria; Enterobacterales; Enterobacteriaceae.
AUAAACUGGAGGAAGGUGGGGAUGACGUCAAGUCAUCAUGGCCCUUACGACCAGGGCUACACACGUGCUACAAUGGCGCAUACAAAGAGAAGCGACCUCGCGAGAGCAAGCGGACCUCAUAAAGUGCGUCGUAGUCCGGAUUGGAGUCUGCAACUCGACUCCAUGAAGUCGGAAUCGCUAGUAAUCGUGGAUCAGAAUGCCACGGUGAAUACGUUCCCGGGCCUUGUACACACCGCCCGUCACACCAUGGGAGUGGGUUGCAAAAGAAGUAGGUAGCUUAACCUUCGGGAGGGCGCUUACCACUUUGUGAUUCAUGACUGGGGUGAAGUCGUAACAAGGUAACCGUAGGGGAACCUGCGGUUGGAUCACCUCCUU